Long non-coding RNA from Choloepus didactylus (southern two-toed sloth), 250 nucleotides. RefSeq lists it as uncharacterized. The transcript is spliced from 3 exons. The record is from RefSeq and is a predicted model, not a curated record. NCBI's taxonomy places the organism in Eukaryota, Metazoa, Chordata, Mammalia, Pilosa, Megalonychidae.
AGAGAACACCGCUUCGCCGCUAACAGGGUUUCAUGGCUGGGCAGAAUGCUAACCAGACGGCCAAAGGGACAUUCACAUUAACAGAUCUCAGGACCAUCUCACUUUCUUUGAGACUCAUGACUCCUUCAACAGAAAUAGACUGUGCCUUCAGACCAGAAGCCUGGAAACUACAUUUCUUUGACUGGCUCAGUGGGAGGCAUUUGCACAAGAUCUGGAAGUUGUGAGAAGACAGAGCCAUUAUUGCUCCAGC